UACGUAGGGUGCGAGCGUUGUCCGGAAUUAUUGGGCGUAAAGGGCUCGUAGGCGGUUUGUCGCGUCGGGAGUGAAAACACCGGGCUUAACUCGGUGCUUGCUUUCGAUACGGGCAGACUAGAGGCAUGCAGGGGAGAACGGAAUUCCUGGUGUAGCGGUGAAAUGACGCAGAUAUCAGGAGGAACACCGGUGGCGAAGGCGGUUCUCUGGGCCUUACCUGACGCUGAGGAGCGAAAGCGUGGGGAGCGAACAGG
Molecule: ribosomal RNA, 254 nt
Filed under: uncultured bacterium
Lineage: Bacteria
Description: partial 16S ribosomal RNA
Rfam family: Bacterial small subunit ribosomal RNA
Source: RNAcentral